Molecule: non-coding RNA, 2147 nt
Organism: Pelodiscus sinensis (Chinese soft-shelled turtle)
Lineage: Eukaryota; Metazoa; Chordata; Testudines; Trionychidae
Source: RefSeq, a predicted model, not a curated record
GUGGACUAUCAAGUGAAGCCUCCCAGAAUGCCCUCUGCUCGGAUCGCCUGGCCAGCAGACCAGCUUAGGAGUCAACUUGGGAAGAUCAAAGAAUAUGAACUGCCUUCUGCUCGCCUUAUCAUCCUGCCUGGGACUAUUCCUGGUUGGAACCAAGGAAAGGAAACUUGAUUGGCCAUUGGAAUGUAUAUUAAUUAUCUAGAAGAUCCUCAUACCACAGCAGUGCUAUAUUCAGACUGAUUAUCCUUGCAAUUCUUGGAAGAAAUGAGGACUCCAUGGGAAAAUGCAUACCAAGUCUUCAUGGACUGAAAAAUCAAACUGGCCACCACCAAGAGAACAUAACAGUGUGUGAAGAGAAUGUAUUUAUUUGGGUUUAUUUUUAAAUCCACCCAUCUGUGAGCAUAUUUCCAGAAUUAUACAAUAAACCCAAAUAUACAAAAUAUGUAAUCCUUCCAAAGGAAGACUUUUCCUCCAUCCAGUAAAACCUAUUCAAUCCACCUAAUUUGACUCUUAAAGAUACUGCUGGGUCUGAAAUGUCCUGCUUUUUCCAAAUCCAAAUUUUAUUGUCGAUGUUGCUGCAUAAGUAACCAAACUAUAUUUUGAUUCCUGUUCUAUCUCUUUUUUCCUUUAUAUAUAAACACCAUAAACAUAAUUUUCUGGAAAUAAAUAUUAGAAAAGGAUUCAAAACAGGAACUGUGAAUCUGAAUCUCUUUACAAUUGGAAGAAGGGGGAUUCAGAGUCAAAACCUUAGAUCCAAAGUCAUUUUGAUCUUCUGUUUCUGCACUGGAUCCAGACCAGGAAAAUGUUAUUUUUCGGUCUCAAAUUUCUGAAAUUCUCAUUAGAAUGACUAUUUGUGAAAUUUUGUCAUUCAAGAUGACGGAUCUUGCAAGAACUUCAUUUCACAAGAUUUCUAUCACGUUGGAGCAAAAUCUCAGGAGAAGAACAUAAGAAAUGUCAAAGCUAUCAAAUCUGAACUGAAAUCCAAUUCAGUGCCUUCCUUUAACUGAACUCAACCCAAACCCUUGGCUAAACCCCAUCUGGAUCCAAACAUUGCCUCUUUGGCCUUUUUCCAGUUCAUUCCACUUUUUCCAGGAGAUAACAUCACAUAAGAAAUCUAGUUUAAAUAAACAAGAUAGGCAACCAGAGAGCAAAACUACAACAACACAAGUGAAAUUUGAUAUUGGAAAAGCAAGGCAUUUCUGACCAAGUACUUAAGGUACUGCCCUGGACUCAAGAGAUCCAUCUAUGUUCAAUUAGAGACUCUGCCACAAACUCCCGGUGUGACUCUGGCAGAUCAUUUAAUCUCUCGGUGUUUCACUUCAUCACAGGAAAACGCAGAUAAGACUUGCUGCCUCCUACCCUUUGCACAUUUAGGUCUAUUUAGAUUGUAAAAUCUUUGAGGCAAGGACUGCUCUUACUAGGAGUUUGUACAGCACUUAGCACAUGGGGCCAUGAUUUUGAUUGGGGGCAUUACGCUCUACUAUAAAACAUGUCAGGUAUAUCAUAUAGCUCAUUAAACUAUAGGUCAUAAAGCAGGAAAAGUACAUCCCGCCCUCCCCACUGCACAAUCACCAUAGAAAAAGAGGAAACAGAAUUCCUGUUAAAUUUCCCUCCAUACCUUGCCAUCCAUAACUGCUAAGGACUGCAAGGCCAGGAGUUCUUUGGGAACACCUAUACUUCUGGUACUCAUGCAAUGGUUCAAGUCCAUACCUACCCCAUCAGAACAUUACUCCAUUAACCUUUUGGGCACACUUCAAAGGGUGACUUUCCAACCAAGCAUUUGGGGAGAAACAAUGUAACAGGAAACCUAAAGUUCAUUAUUGAUUGACGUGUUAGAAUGAUAUGGGCCUGAUAUUAUUUUAUAAUAUGGAAUGAUUACUUUAACAUUUGAGUUUUAACUGCUGUAAAAGCUCUGAGCUCUGGAUGGUAAUUAUCAGUGAGAUAAACCUAAAGACAGAAAAUAAUUAUAUAAGGGAACCUUGAUUUUUAAAGCACCUCUGCAUUGCUCUGCAUAGGCUGAUUGAAAACACUCUUAAAACAGAAUCAGCUCAAUCUCAAAGCGGAGAAAUAGUUGUAGCAAUGUUUUGCAUCCUAAUUUACCAGCUUCCAAGUUUGCAAAAUGUCCACACAAUUAGAGUAAUUUUUUUAAA